This 422-nucleotide ribosomal RNA is filed under the name Actinomyces sp. oral taxon 171. RNAcentral describes it as "bacterial SSU rRNA". It matches the Rfam family "Bacterial small subunit ribosomal RNA", at positions 28 to 440 of the family's 1533-position model. The record is from RNAcentral. Lineage: Bacteria; Bacillati; Actinomycetota; Actinomycetes; Actinomycetales; Actinomycetaceae.
GACGAACGCUGGCGGCGUGCUUAACACAUGCAAGUCGAACGGUGAAGCACCUUCCUUUUGGUGGGUGUGGAUGAGUGGCGAACGGGUGAGUAACACGUGAGUAACCUGCCCCCUUCUUCUGGAUAACCGCAUGAAAGUGUGGCUAAUACGGGAUAUUCUGCGCCUGCUGCAUGGUGGGUGUGGGAAAGAUAUUGUUUCGGUGGGGGAUGGGCUCGCGGCCUAUCAGCUUGUUGGUGGGGUGAUGGCCUACCAAGGCGGUGACGGGUAGCCGGCCUGAGAGGGUGGACGGUCACACUGGGACUGAGACACGGCCCAGACUCCUACGGGAGGCAGCAGUGGGGAAUAUUGCACAAUGGGCGCAAGCCUGAUGCAGCGACGCCGCGUGAGGGAUGGAGGCCUUCGGGUUGUAAACCUCUUUCGCC